GUAAGAGAAGAGGUGUGUGUGCUGAGAGCAAGGGCUGUACGGCUCAUCUCUGUGUUGUCACAGGAAAUGCCCGGCAGAGCUCCUUGCUCUCUGUUCUUUCUUGCAAGGCUGCGGCGCUUCAAAGUGCGCUGUGGGUGGGGAGUGCGAUGACAGCCCAAGGGUGGCACCAGGAGAUGCAGCACAGCCCUCUCCAGCAGCAGGGUGCAUUAAUUGGUCUUGCUAAUUCUUGAAGGAGAAGGCAGGAGCCGGGCAGCGGUACUGCAGCUCGUCUGGCAGCUUUGCAGCUCAGUUGGGAAGUAGAAGAUGUGGCUGUGAAAGAAGAAGUCAGUUGCUGGGACGUCCCCCUGUUCUUCCCCUAGCUGUCCCUAUGCCUCAGCCUGGAUUCUUCUUGCAUUCCUGUAGGAUUCCCUUCCAUCCUCCUGGUUGUCCCUUGCUUUCCCCAAGGUUGCUCUUUCCUUUCCCAUGACAGCCCACCCAUCAUUCCCUCAAAGCCCCAAUAUCCACCCCAGUGUUUCCCCAGUAAGACUCCUAGAGACGCCCUGUAGCACCCCACAGAGCCCCAUACACC
RNAcentral lists this long non-coding RNA (568 nucleotides) under Gallus gallus (chicken). Its description in RNAcentral is "lncRNA (ENSGALG00010000103.1)". The record is from RNAcentral. Lineage: Eukaryota; Metazoa; Chordata; Aves; Galliformes; Phasianidae.